UUUUUGCUCCACAUAUGCAUGCUUUCUACGAUUCGGAGAUCAGUGCAGCCCAAAGAUCACAUUGGAUUCUCCUCACUACACUCCAUCUUCUAACCUAGUCUGCAUCACGGCUAGGUGCAUCCGUUGCCAAGUUCAUCCAAUAUAUGCCAACCGCAUUGCAAGGACGACCAUAUGCACACACACACCACAGUCCACAGGAGACAGAUAGCUAGCUAGCUUACUCUUUAGUCAUACAUACACUUAUAAAUAGCCACCGGCUCUGUGCUCAUCAGCAAGGCAGAUUAAACAAGUGAAGUGGUCCACAUCAAAAAUGAAGUAAUCAGGUCUAGGGAGUCAAAAUUUGGUUGGUUGUCCACUGGAGUUCUCCUCAAUCCACUUCAGUAGAUAGCUAUGGCUAGGCCUCAUUGCAUUGCACUGUUACAUAACUGUGAUCAUGGGGCCAAAAGCUAGCUAUGUAUAGUGAAGUGCUUGGGGGAACUCCAGUUGGCACUCAGCAUUUUCAAGUUAGGUAUGUAAGUGCUUGUACUUUAUGAAUUUGUAAGUGACAGAGAAUGAUUAGGUUUGGAGUCCCUAGGAGUUCCUUUCAAGCACUUUACGACACACUGUAUUGAGAGUUAUCGUGAAGUGUUUGGGGGAACUCUUAGUG
RNAcentral lists this precursor RNA (646 nucleotides) under Oryza sativa Japonica Group (Japanese rice). Its description in RNAcentral is "putative precursor microRNA R395ab". The stretch from base 349 to 490 matches the Rfam family "mir-395 microRNA precursor family". The record is from RNAcentral. Lineage: Eukaryota; Viridiplantae; Streptophyta; Magnoliopsida; Poales; Poaceae.